This 401-nucleotide transfer-messenger RNA is filed under the name Bacteroidales. Its description in RNAcentral is "Bact-08 sp000473305 Standard tmRNA". It matches the Rfam family "transfer-messenger RNA". From Rfam's summary of the family: Bacterial tmRNA, also known as 10Sa RNA or SsrA, is named for its dual tRNA and mRNA-like properties. Lineage: Bacteria; Pseudomonadati; Bacteroidota; Bacteroidia. The record is from RNAcentral. RNAcentral also lists the same sequence under 1 other name.
GGGGAUGUUUUGGUUUUGACAGCAGAUUGUAUCGGAAAGUAAGCACGUCGAGCGUUGUGAGGCCGGCUCGAUAAUCCCGGGUCACAAGCCAUUAACUGGCGAAAACAACUAUGCACUCGCUGCGUAAUUAAGCUAAGCUUUUACGCUUUAUCGCCGCCGGCUAGGUCCGGCCGUGACGAGUAUCCCGCCUGAUUUUAAGCCGACUAUAUCAGGUAUAUGGGGUAUCAAACAAGUAUGGCUGCCGACACUCACUCCUCUAUGGUGUCGAAAGAUUUAGAGGAUAAGCUCAGGAUGGCCUGUCUGUAGGCAGCCCUAAGACGAAAAACAAGAAUAGACUAAGCGUGUAGAAAGCUUUUGGAUGGUUUGUUUGGACGGCGGUUCGAGUCCGCCCAUCUCCACUA